Molecule: ribosomal RNA, 505 nt
Filed under: Lysinibacillus sphaericus
Lineage: Bacteria; Bacillati; Bacillota; Bacilli; Caryophanales; Bacillaceae
Description: bacterial SSU rRNA
Rfam family: Bacterial small subunit ribosomal RNA
Source: RNAcentral
GAAGCAACGCGAAGAACCUUACCAGGUCUUGACAUCCCGUUGACCACCCCCAGAGAUAUGGUUUCCCCUUCGGGGGCAACGGUGACAGGUGGUGCAUGGUUGUCGUCAGCUCGUGUCGUGAGAUGUUGGGUUAAGUCCCGCAACGAGCGCAACCCUUGAUCUUAGUUGCCAUCAUUUAGUUGGGCACUCUAAGGUGACUGCCGGUGACAAACCGGAGGAAGGUGGGGAUGACGUCAAAUCAUCAUGCCCCUUAUGACCUGGGCUACACACGUGCUACAAUGGACGAUACAAACGGUUGCCAACUCGCGAGAGGGAGCUAAUCCGAUAAAGUCGUUCUCAGUUCGGAUUGUAGGCUGCAACUCGCCUACAUGAAGCCGGAAUCGCUAGUAAUCGCGGAUCAGCAUGCCGCGGUGAAUACGUUCCCGGGCCUUGUACACACCGCCCUGUCACACCACGAGAGUUUGUAACACCCGAAGUCGGUGAGGUAACCUUUUGGAGCCAGCCG